Molecule: ribosomal RNA, 727 nt
Filed under: uncultured Planctomycetota bacterium
Lineage: Bacteria; Pseudomonadati; Planctomycetota
Description: bacterial SSU rRNA
Rfam family: Bacterial small subunit ribosomal RNA
Source: RNAcentral
CUUGAGCACGUAGGUGGGUUUGUAAGUCAGGUGUGAAAGCCUUCUGUUCAACGGGAGAAUUGCAUCUGAAACUACGAAUCUUGAGUGUAGGAGGGGAGAAUGGAACUUCUGGUGGAGCGGUGAAAUGCGUAGAUAUCAGAAGGAACGCCGGCGGCGAAAGCGAUUCUCUGGCCUAUUACUGACACUCAGUGUGCGAAAGCUAGGGGAGCAAACGGGAUUAGAUACCCCGGUAGUCCUAGCCGUAAACGAUGGGCACUAAGUAGUGGGAAUUACCGAUGUUCUCUCUGCCGUAGCUAACGCAUUAAGUGCCCCGCCUGGGGAGUACGGCCGCAAGGCUAAAACUCAAAAGAAUUGACGGGGGCUCGCACAAGCGGUGGAGCAUGUGGCUUAAUUCGAUGCAACGCGAAAAACCUUACCGGGGCUUGACAUGUUAGAAGUAGGAACCCGAAAGGGUAACGAACGGUAUCCAGUCCGUGACUAUCACAGGUGUUGCAUGGCUGUCGUCAGCUCGUGUCGUGAGACGUUGGGUUAAGUCCCCUAACGAGCGAAACCCUUGUUUUUAGUUACCAGCGGGUUAUGCCGGGUACUCUAGAAAGACUGCCGUCGUCAAGACGGAGGAAGGUGGGGAUGACGUCAAGUCAUCAUGGCCCUUAUGCCCCGGGCUGCACACGUGCUACAAUGGUCGGUACAAACGGAAGCGAAGCCGAGAGGUGAAGCGAAUCCAAGC